This 253-nucleotide ribosomal RNA is filed under the name uncultured bacterium. RNAcentral's name for it is "partial 16S ribosomal RNA". It matches the Rfam family "Bacterial small subunit ribosomal RNA", at positions 524 to 776 of the family's 1533-position model. The record is from RNAcentral.
UACAGAGGGUGCGAACGUUGCUCGGAAUUACUGGGCGUAAAGCGCGUGUAGGCGGGUCGGCAAGUCAGAUGUGAAAUCCCUGGGCUCAACCUAGGAAUUGCAUCUGAAACUGCCGGUCUUGAGUGUCGGAGAGGGUAGCGGAAUUCCUGGUGUAGAGGUGAAAUUCAUAGAUAUCAGGAGGAACACAGGUGGCGAAGGCGGCUACCUGGACGACUACUGACGCUGAGACGCGAAAGCGUGGGGAGCAAACAGG